Molecule: ribosomal RNA, 887 nt
Filed under: uncultured Methanosaeta sp.
Lineage: Archaea; Methanobacteriati; Methanobacteriota; Methanomicrobia; Methanotrichales; Methanotrichaceae
Description: bacterial SSU rRNA
Rfam family: Archaeal small subunit ribosomal RNA
Source: RNAcentral
CAGAGUUACUGCUAUCGAGMUYSGWCGYWAGCCAUGCGAGUUGAAUGUUCUUCGUGAACAUGGCGGACUGCUCAGUAACACGUGGACAACCUACCCUUGGGUCCGGCAUAAUCCUGGGAAACUGGGAAUAAUUCCGGAUAGGUCACCGAUGCUGGAAUGCGCGGUGGCCGAAAGCUCCGGCGCCCGAGGAUGGGUCUGCGGCCUAUCAGGGUUGUAGUGGGUGUAACGUACCUACUAGCCUACGACGGGUACGGGUUGUGAGAGCAAGAGCCCGGAGAUGGAUUCUGAGACACGAAUCCAGGCCCUACGGGGUGCAGCAGGCGCGAAAACUUUACAAUGCGGGAAACCGUGAUAAGGGGAUCUCGAGUGCCAGCAUAUAAUGUUGGCUGUCCAGAUGCCUAAAAAGCAUCUGUUAGCAAGGGCCGGGCAAGACCGGUGCCAGCCGCCGCGGUAACACCGGCGGCCCGAGUGGUAACCGCUAUUAUUGGGUCUAAAGGGUCUGUAGCCGGCCAGGUAAGUCCCUUGGGAAAUCUGGCAGCUCAACUGUCAGGCUGCUAGGGGAUACUGUUUGGCUUGGGACCGGGAGAGGUGAGAGGUACCUUGGGGGUAGGGGUGAAAUCUUGUGAUCCUCGAGGGACCACCAGUGGCGAAGGCGUCUCACCAGAACGGGUCCGACGGUAAGGGACGAAAGCUAGGGGCACGAACCGGAUUAGAUACCCGGGUAGUCCUAGCCGUAAACGAUGCUCGCUAGGUGUCAGUCACGGUGCGACCGUGAUUGGUGCCGUAGGGAAGCCGUGAAGCGAGCCACCUGGGAAGUAUGGCCGCAAGGCUGAAACUUAAAGGAAUUGGCGGGGGAGCACUMCRRCRSSUGGAGCCUGCGGUUAAUG